RNAcentral lists this ribosomal RNA (468 nucleotides) under uncultured bacterium. RNAcentral describes it as "partial 16S ribosomal RNA". It matches the Rfam family "Bacterial small subunit ribosomal RNA", at positions 28 to 507 of the family's 1533-position model. The record is from RNAcentral.
GACGAACGCUGGCGGCGUGCUUAACACAUGCAAGUCGAACGGAAAGGCCCUGCUUUUGUGGGGUGCUCGAGUGGCGAACGGGUGAGUAACACGUGAGUAACCUGCCCUUGACUUUGGGAUAACUUCAGGAAACUGGGGCUAAUACCGGAUAGGAGCUCCUGCUGCAUGGGGGGGGUUGGAAAGUUUCGGCGGUUGGGGAUGGACUCGCGGCUUAUCAGCUUGUUGGUGGGGUAGUGGCUUACCAAGGCUUUGACGGGUAGCCGGCCUGAGAGGGUGACCGGGCACAUUGGGCCUGAGAUACGGACCAGACUCCUACGGGAGGCAGCAGUGGGGAACAUUGCGCAAUGGGCGGAAGCCUGAUGCAGCAACGCCGCGUGCGGGAUGACGGCCUUCGGGUUGUAAACCGCUUUCGCCUGUGACGAAGCGUGAGUGACGGUAAUGGGUAAAGAAGCACCGGCUAACUACGUG